This 248-nucleotide small RNA is filed under the name Pan troglodytes (chimpanzee). Its description in RNAcentral is "processed transcript". The record is from RNAcentral. Lineage: Eukaryota; Metazoa; Chordata; Mammalia; Primates; Hominidae.
AAAGCGCGGGUAGUUGAACCGUGAUGGUGGGGAGGUGGUCUUGGGUGGACCCCUGCCGUGGGGAAUGCAGGAAUGGACGCGGCAAAAGGAGGGAAGAGAACUUUAGAGAUCGCGGAUUCAGGUGUGGCUCUAUGAGCAAGUGAAUAUGCGGAUAGAAGGCUGUAUCAUUGGUUUUGAUGAGUAUAUGAACCUUGUAUUAGAUGAUGCAGAAGAGAUUCAUUCUAAAACAAAGUCAAGAAAACAACUGG